UGCCAGACCCACAUCAGCAAACUGGGGCUGGGGCUGGGCGUGGGGCUGGGGCUGGGGCUGACCCUCCUCAUCCUGCUCAUCCUCUGCAUCGUCCUCUCCAUCUGCUUGGCCCAGGGGAAGAGAAAAACGCCCAGCACCAGCGAGGACCAUAGCUGGCCAGACGGCAAGCGCAACGCUCGUGCCACCGGCAUCUACCAUGUCAACGGCAGAGGCUCGACGCCACGUCAAGGUCCCUACGCGCACAGCUCCUACAGGACCAACACGGAGGUUGCGGACCCUCCUGUGCUGGGGGAAGCAGAAGGUGCGGCGUCCCUGUGAGCUGUGAAGUGGCCCCCAAAACCAGCUUGAGGAGGGGCCAAGACCACCUCGAUGCCCUUCAUCACCCACCACGCAGGACCCUUGG
Cygnus olor (mute swan) is the source of this 403-nucleotide long non-coding RNA. RefSeq lists it as uncharacterized. NCBI's taxonomy places the organism in Eukaryota, Metazoa, Chordata, Aves, Anseriformes, Anatidae. The record is from RefSeq and is a predicted model, not a curated record. The transcript has 4 exons.